AUUGAACGCUGGCGGCAUGCCUUACACAUGCAAGUCGAACGGCAGCGGACCUUCGGGUGCCGGCGAGUGGCGAACGGGUGGGUAAUAUAUCGGAACGUACCUUUCAGUGGGGGAUAACGUAGCGAAAGUUACGCUAAUACCGCAUAUUCUGUGAGCAGGAAAGCAGGGGAUCGCAAGACCUUGCGCUGAUUGAGCGGCCGAUAUCAGAUUAGCUAGUUGGUGAGGUAAAGGCUCACCAAGGCGACGAUCUGUAGCGGGUCUGAGAGGAUGAUCCGCCACGCUGGAACUGAGACACGGUCCAGACUCCUACGGGAGGCAGCAGUGGGGAAUUUUGGACAAUGGGCGCAAGCCUGAUCCAGCCAUGCCGCGUGAGUGAAGAAGGCCUCGGUUGUAAGACUCUUCGUCCGGAGGAAAUACGCACGGGUUAAGUAACCCUCGUGUUGGAGUGACGGUACCGGAA
RNAcentral lists this ribosomal RNA (460 nucleotides) under uncultured bacterium. RNAcentral's name for it is "bacterial SSU rRNA". It matches the Rfam family "Bacterial small subunit ribosomal RNA", at positions 30 to 484 of the family's 1533-position model. The record is from RNAcentral.